Molecule: ribosomal RNA, 498 nt
Filed under: uncultured bacterium
Lineage: Bacteria
Description: bacterial SSU rRNA
Rfam family: Bacterial small subunit ribosomal RNA
Source: RNAcentral
AAUGAACGUUGGCGGCGUGGAUUAGGCAUGCGAGUCGUACGAGAACCCGCAAGGGGGACAGUGGCGAACGGGGUAGUAAGGCGUAGGUGACGUGCCCUGCGGUCGGGGAUAGCUUAGGGAAACUUAAGGUAAUACCCGAUAAUCCCGGUAGGUUUGAAGACCAUCCGGGCAAAGGUGUGAUUCCACCACAGGAGCGGCUUGCGUGGUAUUAGCUAGUUGGUGAGGUAACGGCUCACCAAGGCUGCGAUGCCUAGGGGAUGUUAGCGCAUGAUCCCCACCACUGGGACUGAGAUACUGCCCAGACACCUACGGGUGGCUGCAGUCGAGAAUCUUCGGCAAUGGGGGCAACCCUGACCGAGCGACGCCGCGUGUGGGAUGAAGGCCCUUGGGUUGUAAACCACUGUCAGAGGGGAUGAAGUGCUAGGGAGUUCUCUCCUUAGUUUGACAUAGCCUCAGAGGAAGCACGGGCUAAGUUCGUGCCAGCAGCCGCCGUAAGAC